Molecule: long non-coding RNA, 470 nt
Organism: Oncorhynchus tshawytscha (Chinook salmon)
Lineage: Eukaryota; Metazoa; Chordata; Actinopteri; Salmoniformes; Salmonidae
Source: Ensembl
ACAUAUCAGAAUGUUACUGCAGUACAUAUCAGAAUGUUACUGCAGUACAUAUCAGAAUGUCCCUUCUGUGUCUCUGAUAGGAUUAUAACAUGCUGUUACUGCAGUACAUGUCAGAAUGUCACUGCAGUACAUGUCAGAAUGUUACUGCAGUACAUAUCAGAAUGUUACUGCAGUACAUACCAGAAUGUUACUGCAGUACAUAUCAGAAUGUUACUGCAGUACAUAUCAGAAUGUUACUGCAGUACAUAUCAGAAUGUUACUGACAGUACAUAUCAGAAUGUUACUGACAGUACAUAUCAGAAUGUUACUGACAGUACAUAUCAGAAUGUUACUGCAGUACAUAUCAGAAUGUUACUGCAGUACAUAUCAGAAUGUUACUUCUGUUACAUAUCAGAAUAUUACUGACAGUACAUAUCAGAAUGUUACUGCAGUACAUAUCAGAAUGUUACUGCAGUACAUAUCAGAAUGUU